Molecule: ribosomal RNA, 279 nt
Filed under: uncultured bacterium
Lineage: Bacteria
Description: partial 16S ribosomal RNA
Rfam family: Bacterial small subunit ribosomal RNA
Source: RNAcentral
UGCCAGCCGCCGCGGUAAUACGGAGGGAGCUAGCGUUGUUCGGAAUUACUGGGCGUAAAGCGCGCGUAGGCGGCUAUUUAAGUCAGAUGUGAAAGUCCACGGCUCAACCGUGGAAGUGCAUUUGAAACUGGAUGGCUUGAGUACUGGAGGGGGUGGUGGAAUUCCCGGUGUAGAGGUGAAAUUCGUAGAUAUUCGGAGGAACACCAGUGGCGAAGGCGGCUCACUGGCUCGAUACUGACGCUGAGGUGCGAAAGCGUGGGGAGCAAACAGGAUUAGAUA